This is a long non-coding RNA of Perca flavescens (yellow perch), 859 nucleotides long. RefSeq lists it as uncharacterized. The record is from RefSeq and is a predicted model, not a curated record. NCBI's taxonomy places the organism in Eukaryota, Metazoa, Chordata, Actinopteri, Perciformes, Percidae. The transcript has 3 exons.
CAGGCCUACAUGAUGUCCGCUGAUGGCAGCUCUCUGACUCUGCUGUGAUGCUCUGUGGGUGCAUCCUUUCAAAACAAACUGAAUAACAUGACGUAAAGAUGCCUAUUGUGGGAGAAAUGACAACAUUGUGCGUAUGUAAAUUGCUGCCGGUAGGGUUCUCUAAUGAAGGGCUCUGGUUCCGAAAGUGUUUUUCCAUUGACGUUUCAGAAAUUGCUGAUAUAAAGGUUUUUUUUAGCUACGUGAGGAAGCAUGACCAUAAAACAUUUGAUUCUGCUAAAAAAAAGAAGACGGCAAUAGGUACGCCAAAAGAUAUUACAAUAAAGGCCAACAGAGGUGACCUGACCACGCCUGAGGCAGGGAAGUGAAAAUCAAACACUCCUGCAUAGAAAGGAAUCGCCCCCUUCAGGUUCAAUCCAUCAACCCAAUUAGAGGUUAUAUGUAUGCAGCCUUCAGUCUUUUCCACCCCAAACAUGAUGUAUGUGUCCUUUAAAACCACACGCAGCAAAGAAACUGAAUUGAAUCUGCCAGUCUGCUGACUGCGUCUCAUUCAUGCUGACACAUAUUGAGUCAACUCUCCAGUGUUUCCCUUCACUAGAUGUAGACAAUGUAUUGCAAAGUCAGUAUGAGUGGAGCCUCUCCCAAUACACAUGCACUGCUAAACACACACACGUAAUUUAAGCUUUAAAUGUGUUAGGUUUUUAUUUUGGUAGUGGGCUUGGCUGUAUAUUUGGCCAUCGAAGCUUAGUUUGUGGAUGUCAGACAUUAGUAGUGUGAUGGGAAAUCCAUCUAAAAGUAAGCUGAACAUUGUAAUUUUUUUCUUUUCAACUUUCUAUUGAUAUACAGGCUAUAUGUAUAUGAC